AACUAAGGGUAACCGGGGGUAAACCCGUAGAGUGACACGACCAGUCGCCGCGUUGUGUAGAAGGAACGUCCGGUUCGGGUUAAGUAACGACUUACUUUACGAGGUAGGGAAGGGAAGGUUAGUAGUUACGUAAUACCUGCAUUAUUUGACGUUACCUACAGAAGAAGCACCGGCUAACUCCGUGCCAGCAGCCGCGGUAAUACGGAGGGUGCGAGCGUUAAUCGGAAUUACUGGGCGUAAAGCGCAUGCAGGCGGCCUGUUAAGUCAGAUGUGAAAGCCCGGGGCUUAACCUCGGAAUUGCAUUUGAAACUGGCAGGCUAGAGUCUUGUAGAGGGGGGUAGGAAUUUCAGGUGUAGCGGUGAAAUGCGUAGAGAUCUGAAGGAAUACCAGUGGCGAAGGCGGCCCCCUGGACAAAGACUGACGCUCAGAUGCGAAAGCGUGGGGAGCAAACAGGAUUAGAUACCCUGGUAG
This 471-nucleotide ribosomal RNA is filed under the name uncultured bacterium. RNAcentral's name for it is "bacterial SSU rRNA". It matches the Rfam family "Bacterial small subunit ribosomal RNA", at positions 340 to 793 of the family's 1533-position model. The record is from RNAcentral.